CCUACGGGUGGCAGCAGUGGGGGAUAUUGCACAAUGGGGGAAACCCUGAUGCAGCGACGCCGCGUGGGCGAAGAAGGAUUUCGGGAUGUAAACCCCUAUCAGCAGGGAAGAAGAAAUGACGGUACCUGAGUAAGAAGCACCGGCUAAAUACGUGCCAGCAGCCGCGGUAAUACGUAGGGUGCAAGCGUUAUUCGGAUUUACUGGGUGUAAAGGGAGCGUAGGCGGCAGGGCAAGCCUGAAGUGAAAGCACGGGGCGCAACCGCGGGACUGCAUUGGGAACUAUGGGGCUGGAGUGCCGGAGGGGUAGGCGGAAUUCCUAGUGUAGCGGUGAAAUGCGUAGAUAUUAGGAGGAACACCGGUGGCGAAGGCGGCCUACUGGACGGUAACUGACGCUGAGGCUCGAAAGCGUGGGGAGCAAACAGGAUUAGAUACCCGUGUAGUC
RNAcentral lists this ribosomal RNA (442 nucleotides) under uncultured bacterium. RNAcentral's name for it is "partial 16S ribosomal RNA". It matches the Rfam family "Bacterial small subunit ribosomal RNA", at positions 338 to 795 of the family's 1533-position model. The record is from RNAcentral.